GAUGAACGCUGGCGGCGUGCCUAAUACAUGCAAGUCGAGCGAACAGAUGAGGAGCUUGCUCCUCUGACGUUAGCGGCGGACGGGUGAGUAACACGUGGAUAACCUACCUAUAAGACUGGGAUAACUUCGGGAAACCGGAGCUAAUACCGGAUAAUAUAUUGAACCGCAUGGUUCAAUAGUGAAAGACGGUUUUGCUGUCACUUAUAGAUGGAUCCGCGCCGCAUUAGCUAGUUGGUAAGGUAACGGCUUACCAAGGCAACGAUGCGUAGCCGACCUGAGAGGGUGAUCGGCCACACUGGAACUGAGACACGGUCCAGACUCCUACGGGAGGCAGCAGUAGGGAAUCUUCCGCAAAGGGCGAAAGCUUGACGGAGCAACGCCGCGUGAGUGAUGAAGGUCUUCGGAUCGUAAAACUCUGUUAUUAGGGAAGAACAAAUGUGUAAGUAACUAUGCACGUCUUGACGGUACCUAAUCAGAAAGCCACGGCUAACUACGUA
Molecule: ribosomal RNA, 497 nt
Filed under: uncultured bacterium
Lineage: Bacteria
Description: partial 16S ribosomal RNA
Rfam family: Bacterial small subunit ribosomal RNA
Source: RNAcentral